This 550-nucleotide ribosomal RNA is filed under the name uncultured archaeon. RNAcentral describes it as "bacterial SSU rRNA". It matches the Rfam family "Archaeal small subunit ribosomal RNA", at positions 329 to 879 of the family's 1478-position model. The record is from RNAcentral.
GGUGCAGCAGGCGCGAAAACUUUACAAUGCGGGAAACCGUGAUAAGGGGACACCGAGUGCCAGCAUCAUAUGCUGGCUGUCCAGGUGUGUAAAAUACACCUGUUAGCAAGGGCCGGGCAAGACCGGUGCCAGCCGCCGCGGUAACACCGGCGGCCCGAGUGGUGAUCGUGAUUAUUGGGUCUAAAGGGUCCGUAGCCGGUUUGGUCAGUCCUCCGGGAAGUCUGACGGCUCAACCGUUAGGCUUUCGGGGGAUACUGCCAGGCUUGGAACCGGGAGAGGUAAGAGGUACUACAGGGGUAGGAGUGAAAUCUUGUAAUCCCUGUGAGACCACCUGUGGCGAAGGCGUCUUACCAGAACGGGUUCGACGGUGAGGGACGAAAGCUGGGGGCACGAACCGGAUUAGAUACCCGGGUAGUCCCAGCCGUAAACGAUGCUCGCUAGGUGUCAGGCAUGGCGCGACCGUGUCUGGUGCCGCAGGGAAGCCGUGAAGCGAGCCACCUGGGAAGUACGGCCGCAAGGCUGAAACUUAAAGGAAUUGGCGGGGGAGCAC